This 1449-nucleotide ribosomal RNA is filed under the name Lactiplantibacillus plantarum. RNAcentral describes it as "bacterial SSU rRNA". It matches the Rfam family "Bacterial small subunit ribosomal RNA". Lineage: Bacteria; Bacillati; Bacillota; Bacilli; Lactobacillales; Lactobacillaceae. The record is from RNAcentral.
CCUAAUACAUGCAAGUCGAACGAACUCUGGUAUUGAUUGGUGCUUGCAUCAUGAUUUACAUUUGAGUGAGUGGCGAACUGGUGAGUAACACGUGGGAAACCUGCCCAGAAGCGGGGGAUAACACCUGGAAACAGAUGCUAAUACCGCAUAACAACUUGGACCGCAUGGUCCGAGCUUGAAAGAUGGCUUCGGCUAUCACUUUUGGAUGGUCCCGCGGCGUAUUAGCUAGAUGGUGGGGUAACGGCUCACCAUGGCAAUGAUACGUAGCCGACCUGAGAGGGUAAUCGGCCACAUUGGGACUGAGACACGGCCCAAACUCCUACGGGAGGCAGCAGUAGGGAAUCUUCCACAAUGGACGAAAGUCUGAUGGAGCAACGCCGCGUGAGUGAAGAAGGGUUUCGGCUCGUAAAACUCUGUUGUUAAAGAAGAACAUAUCUGAGAGUAACUGUUCAGGUAUUGACGGUAUUUAACCAGAAAGCCACGGCUAACUACGUGCCAGCAGCCGCGGUAAUACGUAGGUGGCAAGCGUUGUCCGGAUUUAUUGGGCGUAAAGCGAGCGCAGGCGGUUUUUUAAGUCUGAUGUGAAAGCCUUCGGCUCAACCGAAGAAGUGCAUCGGAAACUGGGAAACUUGAGUGCAGAAGAGGACAGUGGAACUCCAUGUGUAGCGGUGAAAUGCGUAGAUAUAUGGAAGAACACCAGUGGCGAAGGCGGCUGUCUGGUCUGUAACUGACGCUGAGGCUCGAAAGUAUGGGUAGCAAACAGGAUUAGAUACCCUGGUAGUCCAUACCGUAAACGAUGAAUGCUAAGUGUUGGAGGGUUUCCGCCCUUCAGUGCUGCAGCUAACGCAUUAAGCAUUCCGCCUGGGGAGUACGGCCGCAAGGCUGAAACUCAAAGGAAUUGACGGGGGCCCGCACAAGCGGUGGAGCAUGUGGUUUAAUUCGAAGCUACGCGAAGAACCUUACCAGGUCUUGACAUACUAUGCAAAUCUAAGAGAUUAGACGUUCCCUUCGGGGACAUGGAUACAGGUGGUGCAUGGUUGUCGUCAGCUCGUGUCGUGAGAUGUUGGGUUAAGUCCCGCAACGAGCGCAACCCUUAUUAUCAGUUGCCAGCAUUAAGUUGGGCACUCUGGUGAGACUGCCGGUGACAAACCGGAGGAAGGUGGGGAUGACGUCAAAUCAUCAUGCCCCUUAUGACCUGGGCUACACACGUGCUACAAUGGAUGGUACAACGAGUUGCGAACUCGCGAGAGUAAGCUAAUCUCUUAAAGCCAUUCUCAGUUCGGAUUGUAGGCUGCAACUCGCCUACAUGAAGUCGGAAUCGCUAGUAAUCGCGGAUCAGCAUGCCGCGGUGAAUACGUUCCCGGGCCUUGUACACACCGCCCGUCACACCAUGAGAGUUUGUAACACCCAAAGUCGGUGGGGUAACCUUUUAGGAACCAGCCGCAUAAG